Molecule: ribosomal RNA, 402 nt
Filed under: uncultured bacterium
Lineage: Bacteria
Description: bacterial SSU rRNA
Rfam family: Bacterial small subunit ribosomal RNA
Source: RNAcentral
GGGAAUAUUGCGCAAUGGAGGAAACUCUGACGCAGUGACGCCGCGUGCAGGAAGAAGGUUUUCGGAUUGUAAACUGCUUUAGACAGGGAAGAAAAAAGACAGUACCUGUAGAAUAAGCUCCGGCUAACUACGUGCCAGCAGCCGCGGUAAUACGUAGGGGGCUAGCGUUAUCCGGAAUUACUGGGCGUAAAGGGUGCGUAGGUGGUUUCUUAAGUCAGAGGUGAAAGGCUACGGCUCAACCGUAGUAAGCCUUUGAAACUGGGAAACUUGAGUGCAGGAGAGGAGAGUGGAAUUCCUAGUGUAGCGGUGAAAUGCGUAGAUAUUAGGAGGAACACCAGUUGCGAAGGCGGCUCUCUGGACUGUAACUGACACUGAGGCACGAAAGCGUGGGGAGCAAACAGG